CUACGGGUCGCUGCAGUAAGGAAUAUUCCACAAUGGGCGAAAGCCUGAUGGAGCGACACCGCGUGGAGGACGACACCUUUCGGGGCGUAAACUCCUUUUCUGAGUGAAUAAGUUCUGAAAUUAACUCAGGAAUAAGUGACGGCUAACUACGUGCCAGCAGCCGCGGUAAUACGUAGGUCGCAAGCGUUAACCGGAAUUAUUGGGCGUAAAGGGUCCGUAGCCGGAAAAGAAAGUCUGAUGUUAAAACACGGUGCUCAACACCGUGAUCGUAUUAGAAACUUCUUAUCUAGAGUUAUUCAGAGGUGCGUGGAAUUUCUUGAGUAGGGGUAAAAUCCGUAGAUACAAGAAGGAACACCAAAAGCGAAGGCAGCGCACUGGGGAUAUACUGACGGUCAGGGACGAAAGCGUGGGGAGCAAAGAGGAUUAGAUACCCUAGUAGUC
RNAcentral lists this ribosomal RNA (441 nucleotides) under uncultured bacterium. Its description in RNAcentral is "partial 16S ribosomal RNA". It matches the Rfam family "Bacterial small subunit ribosomal RNA", at positions 339 to 795 of the family's 1533-position model. The record is from RNAcentral.